UGCAAGUCGAGCGAACAGACAAGGAGCUUGCUCCUUUGACGUUAGCGGCGGACGGGUGAGUAACACGUGGGUAACCUACCUAUAAGACUGGGAUAACUUCGGGAAACCGGAGCUAAUACCGGAUAAUAUUUCGAACCGCAUGGUUCGAUAGUGAAAGAUGGUUUUGCUAUCACUUAUAGAUGGACCCGCGCCGUAUUAGCUAGUUGGUAAGGUAACGGCUUACCAAGGCGACGAUACGUAGCCGACCUGAGAGGGUGAUCGGCCACACUGGAACUGAGACACGGUCCAGACUCCUACGGGAGGCAGCAGUAGGGAAUCUUCCGCAAUGGGCGAAAGCCUGACGGAGCAACGCCGCGUGAGUGAUGAAGGUCUUCGGAUCGUAAAACUCUGUUAUUAGGGAAGAACAUACGUGUAAGUAACUAUGCACGUCUUGACGGUACCUAAUCAGAAAGCCACGGCUAACUACGUGCCAGCAGCCGCGGUAAUACGUAGGUGGCAAGCGUUAUCCGGAAUUAUUGGGCGUAAAGCGCGCGUAGGCGGUUUUUUAAGUCUGAUGUGAAAGCCCACGGCUCAACCGUGGAGGGUCAUUGGAAACUGGAAAACUUGAGUGCAGAAGAGGAAAGUGGAAUUCCAUGUGUAGCGGUGAAAUGCGCAGAGAUAUGGAGGAACACCAGUGGCGAAGGCGACUUUCUGGUCUGUAACUGACGCUGAUGUGCGAAAGCGUGGGGAUCAAACAGGAUUAGAUACCCUGGUAGUCCACGCCGUAAACGAUGAGUGCUAAGUGUUAGGGGGUUUCCGCCCCUUAGUGCUGCAGCUAACGCAUUAAGCACUCCGCCUGGGGAGUACGACCGCAAGGUUGAAACUCAAAGGAAUUGACGGGGACCCGCACAAGCGGUGGAGCAUGUGGUUUAAUUCGAAGCAACGCGAAGAACCUUACCAAAUCUUGACAUCCUUUGACAACUCUAGAGAUAGAGCCUUCCCCUUCGGGGGACAAAGUGACAGGUGGUGCAUGGUUGUCGUCAGCUCGUGUCGUGAGAUGUUGGGUUAAGUCCCGCAACGAGCGCAACCCUUAAGCUUAGUUGCCAUCAUUAAGUUGGGCACUCUAAGUUGACUGCCGGUGACAAACCGGAGGAAGGUGGGGAUGACGUCAAAUCAUCAUGCCCCUUAUGAUUUGGGCUACACACGUGCUACAAUGGACAAUACAAAGGGCAGCGAAACCGCGAGGUCAAGCAAAUCCCAUAAAGUUGUUCUCAGUUCGGAUUGUAGUCUGCAACUCGACUACAUGAAGCUGGAAUCGCUAGUAAUCGUAGAUCAGCAUGCUACGGUGAAUACGUUCCCGGGUCUUGUACACACCGCCCGUCACACCACGAGAGUUUGUAACACCCGAAGCCGGUGGAGUAACCAUUUGGAGCUAGCCGUCGAAGGUGGGACAAAUGAUUGGGGUGAAGACGUAAC
RNAcentral lists this ribosomal RNA (1455 nucleotides) under Staphylococcus sp. MRSA38B15_13_1E. RNAcentral describes it as "bacterial SSU rRNA". It matches the Rfam family "Bacterial small subunit ribosomal RNA". Lineage: Bacteria; Bacillati; Bacillota; Bacilli; Caryophanales; Staphylococcaceae. The record is from RNAcentral.